This 176-nucleotide ribosomal RNA is filed under the name Sporopachydermia cereana. RNAcentral describes it as "5.8S ribosomal RNA". The stretch from base 10 to 163 matches the Rfam family "5.8S ribosomal RNA". Rfam says of the family: 5.8S ribosomal RNA (5.8S rRNA) is a component of the large subunit of the eukaryotic ribosome. It is transcribed by RNA polymerase I as part of the 45S precursor that also contains 18S and 28S rRNA. Functionally, it is thought that 5.8S rRNA may be involved in ribosome translocation. The record is from RNAcentral. Lineage: Eukaryota; Fungi; Ascomycota; Sporopachydermiomycetes; Sporopachydermiales; Sporopachydermiaceae.
AUCUUUUAAAACUUUUAACAAUGGAUCUCUUGGUUCUCGCAUCGAUGAAGAACGCAGCGAAAUGCGAUAAGUAAUGUGAAUUGCAGAUUUUCGUGAAUCAUUGAAUCUUUGAACGCACAUUGCGCCUUCUAGUAUUCUGGGAGGCAUGCCUGUUUGAGCGUCAUUUCUCUCUCCAA